GCUCCAAAGGUCAGCGGUAGACCGGCCUCACCGAUUAGUAACGUCAGAAACGGAGGCGCAGGUUCGACUCCUGCUUGGAACG
Non-coding RNA from Mycena olivaceomarginata, 82 nucleotides. The record is from the annotation of a GenBank genome assembly. Lineage: Eukaryota; Fungi; Basidiomycota; Agaricomycetes; Agaricales; Mycenaceae.